This 22-nucleotide non-coding RNA is filed under the name Arabidopsis thaliana (thale cress). Lineage: Eukaryota; Viridiplantae; Streptophyta; Magnoliopsida; Brassicales; Brassicaceae. The record is from RNAcentral.
AUGUCGGACUUUCAAACUACUC